This 117-nucleotide transfer RNA is filed under the name Candidatus Bathyarchaeota archaeon. RNAcentral's name for it is "tRNA-OTHER". It matches the Rfam family "tRNA". From Rfam's summary of the family: Transfer RNA (tRNA) molecules are approximately 80 nucleotides in length. Lineage: Archaea; Thermoproteati; Candidatus Bathyarchaeota. The record is from RNAcentral.
GCGGGGGUACCCAAGCCAGGACCAAAUAGAGGGAUCAGAACCCCUCUAGGGUAAGGGGGAGGACUUAAGAUCCUCUGGCGUAGGCCCUCGUGGGUUCAAAUCCCACCCCCCGCACCA